AACGAACGCUGGCGGCAGGCCUAAUACAUGCAAGUCGAACGGGCGUAGCAAUACGUCAGUGGCGGACGGGUGAGUAACACGUGGGAACAUGCCCUUCGGUACGGAACAACUCAGGGAAACUUGAGCUAAUACCGUAUGCGCCGGCAACGGGAAAGAUUUAUCGCCGAAGGAUUGGCCCGCGUCCGAUUAGCUAGUUGGUGAGGUAAAGGCUCACCAAGGCACCGAUCGGUAGCUGGUUUGAGAGAACGACCAGCCACACUGGGACUGAGA
RNAcentral lists this ribosomal RNA (270 nucleotides) under uncultured bacterium. RNAcentral describes it as "partial 16S ribosomal RNA". It matches the Rfam family "Bacterial small subunit ribosomal RNA", at positions 29 to 324 of the family's 1533-position model. The record is from RNAcentral.